RNAcentral lists this ribosomal RNA (320 nucleotides) under uncultured bacterium. RNAcentral describes it as "bacterial SSU rRNA". It matches the Rfam family "Bacterial small subunit ribosomal RNA", at positions 85 to 422 of the family's 1533-position model. The record is from RNAcentral.
CGCAAGGGGAGUGGCAGACGGGUGAGUAACGCGUGGGAACGUGCCCCAAGGUACGGAACAACUCCGGGAAACUGGAGCUAAUACCGUAUGUGCCCGAGAGGGGAAAGAUUUAUCGCCGAAGGAUUGGCCCGCGUUCGAUUAGCUAGUUGGUGAGGUAACGGCUCACCAAGGCGACGAUCGAUAGCUGGUCUGAGAGGAUGAUCAGCCACAUUGGGACUGAGACACGGCCCAAACUCCUACGGGAGGCAGCAGUGGGGAAUAUUGGACAAUGGGCGCAAGCCUGAUCCAGCCAUGCCGCGUGAGUGAUGACGGCCUUAGGG